Molecule: RNA transcript, 3198 nt
Organism: Vidua macroura (Pin-tailed whydah)
Lineage: Eukaryota; Metazoa; Chordata; Aves; Passeriformes; Viduidae
Gene: TRAPPC2
Gene name: trafficking protein particle complex subunit 2
Exons: 4
Source: RefSeq, a predicted model, not a curated record
CCCUGCGGGCUGGGCCCCUUCUCCCUCCCGCCUCCCUCUCCCCCUGUGCCGCGGGCCCCUAGGGGAUAGUAGCCCUGCGGAGUCCGGGCCUUCUCUCGGGGAGGCUGGGGGGCGGCGGGACGGGUCGGCCUUUCCGGGCACCUCUGGAGUGCCCGGGGACGGAGCCGUGGGAUUGUCCCACGGCCGCCGUGUGCCAGGGAAGAGGCGCCCGCCGCCUGCCCCGCUUCCCCUUCUGCUGCCUGUGAGCAGGGCCCGGGGGGAGACAGGCGAGGAGGUUCCUCGGCGGCGGCUGCUGCGCGUUAUGGCCUGGGAUCGCUGUGUCUGGGUGACUCGGGCUCCCGGGGGGUAAAUCAUCGGGAGCAUUGUUUUGAAGAAUGUCUGGAAGUUUCUACUUCGUGAUAGUUGGUCAUCAUGAUAAUCCCAUAUUUGAAAUGGAGUUUCUGCCUCCUGGAAAAGUAGAGUCAAAGGAUGAUCAUCGCCAUCUCAACCAGUUCAUUGCCCAUGCUGCUCUUGACCUCGUAGAUGAGAACAUGUGGCUUUCUAACAACAUGUAUUUGAAGACUGUGGACAAGUUUAAUGAAUGGUUUGUUUCUGCUUUUGUCACAGCUGGACAUAUCCUUCCCUAUUCUCUUUCCUUAUAUUUAUGUAUGAAAAGCCUUUUUCCAGAAAGAGGUAAGUUAGAUAAAGUAAGUUUGGAACAGAUUUCUCUGGCUAUUUGCUAUUAUUGUUAGAGUCAUCAGCUUCAGGAAAAACUAUAUUGGGAGGCACAGCAGAUGGGAACAAUUGGAAAGAUGGAUUAUUACCUUUGUAGGAGCCAAAAUAGCAUCUUGAAAUGUGGUACAUGGAGUAAAGAGCUAUGAGAGGCUCUGAGCAAGCUUUUAUGAUUGUCCCCACCUUGCUGGAGAGGAGAUGUUGCAGUGAACAUGCCUGGUGUCAGUCACUCUAAUGGUGAAAGUGCAGUGAGGCUUGAUACUAUGUACAGGUAGUCCUAGAACUGUUUGUUGAGAAACAUUUGUUACACAUGGCAAGUAACAUUGAAUGACAUUUUAACUUUAGGAGUACAUGGCUGAAGUGCAGGGGGCAUCAUCCAUGUUCAGAAUUACAUUGUUUUAAAAAAGAAACCUUGGAUGGAGAGGUGAUUUUUUUUCAAAUAGGGAGAUGUUAAAAUAUAAAGGUAAUGCUUUCCAAAUUUCAUUGCUUCAAUGUGGAGACCCUGGGGGGCAUCCCUUGGGUUGGGGAAACAGAAGAAGCUUCCCUCAAAAAGCCGAUAAGCCCCUUGGCUCCUUCCCCUGUUCCUGUGUCAGUUCCUGUGUCCCUGAGCCACUCCUUCCCUAUUCCCUGAUUGGCCCUUAUCUUUGUACUGCCCCAAGACCAGGGUCACCCCGGGCCCUUUGAGACAGAGAAACCUGCACCCUCCAUGUGUGUGUGCCUGGGACUCUGAACAUCUCACUGUGUGGCUGAAUUAAACAUCUGUGGAUUCCAUGCAAAGGCCCUUUCUGCUUCUUUACCCUGGACUUUACUAGCAGCUAUUCAGGCUGCAACACUUCAAUUAAUUUUUAAAUGCUUCCUCCUAUGAGUCACUGCUAUUUCAUGUAUAGCUAAGCAUUUUAGAUAUACAUUGAAUCAGGUGUAAAUGCUUAUCUCAGGAUAUUGUCUCUUUUCUUUGUGAAAGUUUUAUUCUCCUUAAUUAUUGUACAUAUGAGAUUUAUAAUGCUUCAUGAUGUAAGGCAAGAAGAUGGAAUUAAGAACUUCUUUACUGAUGUAUAUGAGUUGUAUAUAAAGUUUGCAAUGAAUCCAUUUUAUGAACUCAAUACUCCUAUUCGAUCCACUGCCUUUGAAAGGAAAGUCCAGUUCCUUGGGAAGAAACACCUUUUAAGCUGAAUAAAUAAAUCUCCUGAGUGAGUGCUUUUUCCCUGCUUUCCUGAUUGUUUGAACUGUACUUCGUCUGGUUAGUCCCCUGCAUGUUUUGUAUUCAUCUUCUGAAGACUAAUCGGAUGCUGAAGCAGCUUUUUCUUUUGCUGAUAUAGAUAAGAACAGCCAAGCUUCUCUGGUUAAAAAGGUUUAUCUCGAGAAGUUUCCUUUUAUGUGAUAUGAAAAUGAAGUUUUAAACUGUCAGAGGCUGCAGAGGUACAAAAGAAAAAACUGGGACAUUAUGUGUUAAUGCAUAUGCAAAGUGUAAGCCUCUGACAUAGGGUGGGAGGAAAUCAGACCUAAAUGCAAAAGUUGUCACCAGUCAUCUGGUUUAAUAUGAGCAAAAGGGAAUUCUUGACUGUUUGGCCUAAGUGCUUAAUUUUAUUACAAACUUCCCUAGUUGUAUUCCUUCAGUAGAGAACUCACUCUGCAGACUAACUAGACUAACAUUACACACUGUGGUAGUAAAUCAAGCCUUUAUUUAUUAAUGUGUAAUUGUAUGUAUAUAAAGUACUCAAUAAAAAAUGGAUAGAUCAGAAAAGCUGUCUCCAGUACUUCAAGAAAUUUUGAGGAAAACCCCUUAAGUUUAAAAGUGUGUACUUUCAAAUUUUCUAUGCAUUUAGUGCAAUACACAUUUAGCUGCAGUGUUGCAUCAAUGAAAGAAGUAGACCAGAUCAGCCAGAUCUGCUCUGACAUUAAUUCUAAUUCACACAUGAAAAAAAACCCAAACUAAAUUUACAUGUUUAAACCCAUGGGUUUUUUUUUUCCAUUAUUUCUGCAACUGCUGAAGCUUUCUUUUUGUAAAUUAGUUUAGAGGAGGAUCUUUGAACCAUGAAACUGUAUUUGGUGACGUUUCAGAAAGGCAUUAUUUGGCCUGGCUCCUAUUCCAUUGCAAAAUCUUUUAGGAACCAUUUUGCAAAACUUAACAUCAUUCCAAACCAGUAAUUUUUAAAUAGAUCAUUUGGCAUAUAUAUACACCUAAUGCUUUGCUUGGGAUUAAAAUCUUAAGUAUUCUGUUUCUUUAUGCAGCAAAUCUGCAUAAGCUAUCUUGUACUUUUUUUUUCAAUGUCUGAAAAGCAAUUUCCAAAGGAAGUGGCAUGCUGUUCUAAGAAGUAUUUCGCAUAGUCUGUAUAAUUAAGGGUACCACGUGUGUAUGUGCUGUAAGUCAGUCAUUAUUUCUGCACUUACUGCUAAGCUGUCACUGUAAAAUGUUCCAUGAGAAAAAAGAACAUGAUAAAGAGGUUGCAAUAUUUACCUUAAAUAAAACAUGAAGUCUUGUAGUAUGGA